Molecule: ribosomal RNA, 301 nt
Filed under: uncultured bacterium
Lineage: Bacteria
Description: partial 16S ribosomal RNA
Rfam family: Bacterial small subunit ribosomal RNA
Source: RNAcentral
CAGUCGCCGCGGGAAUACGGAGGAUCCAAGCGUUAUCCGGAUUUAUUGGGUUUAAAGGGUGCGUAGGUGGCCUGUUAAGUCGGGGGUGAAAGACGGUAGCUCAACUAUCGCAGUGCCCUUGAUACUGAUGGGCUUGAAUGAACUAGAGGUAGGCGGAAUGUGACAAGUAGCGGUGAAAUGCAUAGAUAUGUCACAGAACACCAAUUGCGAAGGCAGCUUACUAUGGUUUUAUUGACACUGAGGCACGAAAGCGUGGGGAUCAAACAGGAUUAGAGACCCCGGUAGUCCCUGUCUCUUAUAC